UACGUAGGGUGCAAGCGUUGUCCGGAAUUAUUGGGCGUAAAGAGCUCGUAGGCGGUCUGUUGCGUCGGCUGUGAAAACCCGGGGCUCAACUCCGGGCCUGCAGCCGAUACGGGCAGACUAGAGGUAGGUAGGGGAGAAUGGAAUUCCCGGUGUAGCGGUGAAAUGCGCAGAUAUCGGGAGGAACACCGGUGGCGAAGGCGGUUCUCUGGGCCUUACCUGACGCUGAGGAGCGAAAGCGUGGGGAGCGAACAGG
Molecule: ribosomal RNA, 253 nt
Filed under: uncultured bacterium
Lineage: Bacteria
Description: partial 16S ribosomal RNA
Rfam family: Bacterial small subunit ribosomal RNA
Source: RNAcentral